GAAAGUGAAAGGGGGGCGUCCCGGGGCUUCCUUCACGGGGGCCCCGGUCGGCGCCUUCCGGGGCCGAUCCUCGACAGACCGUCGCCGCCGGUGUCUCUUCCCACACCAAAGCGGGGCCAAGACGGGAGCGGUGCGGGGUGAGACCCUUUCCCCCGUCGUCCGACUCCCGGCCCCGUGGGUACCCGGCGAGCGCGGCAGUCCGGUGGUCCCUCCCCUCUCGGGGGGAGGUGGCCUCCGCCUGUACGCAGGGGGGCGCAGGCCCGGGACUUGCCAUGAGACGCCGUCGCGCAAAUCUGUUGUUGGCCUCGCCGGCUCUGCUUGGGCUCUCGGUUGGCGGGCCGCGCGUCAGGCGGGCUUUA
RNAcentral lists this ribosomal RNA (359 nucleotides) under Potamon pelops. RNAcentral describes it as "partial 28S ribosomal RNA". Lineage: Eukaryota; Metazoa; Arthropoda; Malacostraca; Decapoda; Potamidae. The record is from RNAcentral.